This is an RNA transcript of Capsicum annuum, 1273 nucleotides long. It is a transcript of the gene named pre-mRNA-splicing factor SPF27 homolog, with no coding region annotated. NCBI's taxonomy places the organism in Eukaryota, Viridiplantae, Streptophyta, Magnoliopsida, Solanales, Solanaceae. The transcript is spliced from 8 exons. The record is from RefSeq and is a predicted model, not a curated record.
UUUUUACAAGGGUAAUAUUGGAAGAUAAAGAAACACGUAUAAAAGGAAAAAGUAAAGAACAUUACUCCCUCCUUCCUUUGAGAGCUGGUAACUCACUACUCCCUUAUUCCACACCGGUACGAAGCUCCUAGCAACAAUGGCGACAAAAGACGGCGACGUUUUGAUGCUAGAAGCGCCGCCCGAGUCUCGGCCGACGGUAUCGAGUAGUGCAGAAGUAAUAGAUGCUUUGCCGUACAUUGACGAGGAGUACGGUGAUCCUAACGUGAAAGAAGAGGUAGACCGUUUAAUCGAAGAAGAGAUGCGCCGCAGCUCCAAAAAACCUUCCGAUUUCCUCAAAAAUCUACCUCCUCUUCGUAAAUUCAACUUUGAGAAUCACCCGAUGCUUGCGAGGGAAUAUGAGAGGGUGAGAGCUGGAAAGCCUCCAGGACAGAUAGAUACUUCACGAUACGGACUUGAGGUGCCGCCCGUGAACAAACGUAAUGAUGAAACUGCAUGGAAGCAAGCGCUUCAAAAAGCUCAGCGUUUACUACAGCAUCAAGUAAUAAGGCUAGAAAAUCUGGAUCUAAUGUCAAAGCAUGGUUCUGAUGUGUGGAAGCUGUAUAAUCAACAAUUGGAGGCAUUUUUAGCCAGAAUGCAAUCACAAGCUGUUGAACUGAAGAAAAUGAUAGAAACAGUAAACAGGGAAAGGAAAUAUCAUCAGCAAAUGACUGCAUAUGAGCUUAAUGCGUUGUCCAUGCAAUGGAGAGAGCUCUGUCUGAAAAAUAUAGAAAUCCAAUCUGCAUGUGGGGAACUAGAAGACCAAAUAGAACAUCUGAAGAAGGAGGCUCAAGAAAGGGGCUGGAAUUUGGAGGCUAAUGUUGAGAAUGGCAAAAUGUUGUAUGCUGAAUCAUGAGGGUGCAUGCUAGGUCUUAUAAAGCCUUGUGGAGGAAGACAAUUCUAUUAGAUUGGGUUCGGGGGGGAUUUAUCUCGAAUCAUGAAGAAUGUGUAGGUACCCAGUAAUCAUGAAGAUUUGCCGCUGCUGGACUUGGAUGGAGAAGUUGGUCAAAGAUUUGAAGAGCCAUUGCUUUGCGAUCAUGGUGAGGAAUGUGUCCAAUGUGGAAAAAGUCACUGCUUGCCUCUGUAUCUCCCAUUACUCUCUGCUUGUGUUCAAUUCCUUACAGCUAUCUGACGAAUAGUUAAUAUAUGCCAGUCAAUCAGUGAUUUAAAGUUUGAUCUUCUUUUUAUUUUUCCCCUUGGAUUCCUUUUUGUUGAAUGAGAAAAGGAAACAAAGCAA